UAUGUGCUUCUGUGAAGGAAUGAGGCCUCAACCUUCUAUUUUGUGUUACAGAUUUCUAUUGUUUACUCCCUAUGUUUUGUGUUAAAUGGCAGCACAGGGGCCAAAGGUUCACAGUUCUUGUUCUACAGUUUGGUUUGGGAGGAGAAAGAGUCUUACUGUUAACCUUUUGGAGGGAAGGGAGAGUUUGAUUUGAUUGGGUGUGCUUAAAAAAUGGCGGGAACCUGAGUUUGUUUUGAUUUGUUUGUUUGGAAAAACUGGAGCAGGUAAAGACAGUAAAAGGAGGCUUGCCUGCAGCAGAAAGUUAGCUGGAAUUGUAAUCUGAGAGAGCCAGGAGAGAAGCGCUGAGAGGAACUGCUGAAAACAGAGCUGAGAAAUUGCUGGGAGAGUUGAACUGAAACUCUCUUGAGGACUGAAUCACUCUCAAAGCCGCUGAAGGAACAGUCUGGAAUUGAACCCCCAGUGCUGGGAAGAAAGAGCAAGACCUGAGGCUGAGCAAGGGGAAAAGUCAGGCUUACUGCAGAAGCUGCUCAGAAAUGAUUGUAGGAAAACUCCUGUGAAGCCUCAGGAAAAGGCUUCUUGGCAGCACCCCAUGCCAUUCAGAGACCUAAAAGAAAAUUUAGAGGACCAAAAAUGUUCCUUUUGAAUGGAAGGAAAAGUGGCUGCUUGAUCAGUGCUCUCUCUGGAGCAAAGAAGACAUGAAGCAGCCUGUCUCCUGCCCCCACCUGGUCCCAGAGAAGGAUAGAGUGAGCAGAAACACUCAACGAACAAGAAAAGAUAUUCCAAGCGAUGACAUUCGCCUGGCAGAAUCACAGGAGCAUAACAAAUGCUUCCGGCAAUACUUUUGACUUGCACACUAUCCAAAUCGGCGUGCUUCUGCAGACCAGCUUCAUAAACCUGGGUUUCAAAUGCUCCUGGAUUCAACAGCAAGCCCAUGCACAGAGAGAAAGUAUCCAUUGUACAUCCCUGAGUAACUCUGAUGAAAAAGGUGAAGAACAACAUGCAAUCUAUUCAGAUUGCUUCAAAACCAUGGAAAAACAGCGACAGCUCAGAGAAGGACCUGAGCUCUGUUUCCUGAGCAGCUGCUGAGCCUGGGCAAGUGUUGAGAAAUCUGGGGGGAAAGUAGCCCCCGAGAG
Long non-coding RNA from Hemicordylus capensis (graceful crag lizard), 1133 nucleotides. RefSeq lists it as uncharacterized. The transcript has 3 exons. Lineage: Eukaryota; Metazoa; Chordata; Lepidosauria; Squamata; Cordylidae. The record is from RefSeq and is a predicted model, not a curated record.